Catharus ustulatus (Swainson's thrush) is the source of this 1486-nucleotide long non-coding RNA. RefSeq lists it as uncharacterized. NCBI's taxonomy places the organism in Eukaryota, Metazoa, Chordata, Aves, Passeriformes, Turdidae. The record is from RefSeq and is a predicted model, not a curated record. The transcript is spliced from 3 exons.
GCCGCCUACAAUGAAAUUUGCGAAGUUUUUUCGGUUUCGGCGCCAUUUUCGAGUGGACUCGGAGUGUUGAGAAAAAACUGUGGAUCCUGGAAUUUUACUGUGGAUUUUACUGGUUUUCUGCAGUGCUCUCCCUCUGAAGCAGUGAUCUGAUUGAGUCCAGAGAGUCCAUGCAGGAGCUGCUGUGCCUGUGUUCAGAGGUGAGUUGGGAAGGUAAGCUCAUGUCCCACCUGCUCCAAAAUACCUGCACCUCUGCAUCCCUCUGGGUAAAUGCAGGUCCCUCUGACAAGCAUAUCCCUCCCUGAGUACUGCAGGUAAUACCCUGGGGACAUUCAGGUGAGCUCAAAUCACCCUGUUCACCUGCCAAUUUCUGAUUUAAAUAUUAUUUCCAAAGCACAAACUAAGUUUGAAAGAAGCUGAAGUGGCAGAUGGAUAAUUCAAACAUGGAACUUUUUAUUGUGUAAAAUAUUGAUGCUGUCAUGAACGUGCAUAUUUUCUGAGAUACGUAUUCCACUGCCUAGCCCAAAUUUCCAGUUGCCCAAUACUUGGUGUGACUGUUGAUUUUCCCCUCUGUGCUAGAGGCUGGUGGGGGUGUAUUGAACCCUUGCUUUGAAAAGUCCUCCUUACUGAAGAGAGCUCUUGCCCUUGUUGUUGAACUAAGCAAAAGUCUGGUUUAUAUAAAUAUAAAAACAUUAAUUAAAAUGUGAACCUCAAACACCAUCAAAAUGGAUUCUAAAGCUGAACCUGUUUGCUUUUUAUUCAUUUGAAGAGAUGAAAGAAAUAAGAUUGCACAGGUAGAGUCAAGUAAAACAUUGUUUCAGAAGUAAUUAAUGGUAAUAUUAUGUGGGGUUGUGAUUUAGCUCGUACAGUUUCAGCACUGGCUACGUGUUUGCUUUGCAGCAAGUAGCAGCUGCUCAUUAGGGAGUUGGCCCUGGUGCUGUCAGUGUUGAGGACACUGAAGUGGUGAAAAUAUACUGCUUUUUUGUUGGCAAAUAUUUGAUUUCAAAUUUGAAAUCACUUGGCAUGGGUCACAAGAGUCACAAGAGCUUUUGAAAUUCCUAUUUUUAAGUUUGCUAAAGAGGCAGGGACUCGGUGGUGUGUUGGGUACAAGGGGAUGGCACAAGAAUUCAAACCCAAGGCGUCAUUUCUGACAUUGUUCAGGUUUUUUUGUGAUGCUGCUUUUUAAGAAAAUGAAUUGAAGGAAGUUGUCACAUAACUGGGGGGGGGAGGGUUGGUUGAAAGGAAAUACAAAAAAUAUCAGUCUGUUUGCACAGCUCCUGUGCAGCCCAGGCAGGCUGGUGUGUAAGAGCCACUGGCAGCUGCCUUCUGCAGGGCUGCAGCCCCUCCCUGCCCUGCUCUGGUGCUUUCUGCACUGGUACAGCCAGGGAAUGUGGUGAAGUUCCAAAGGUCUUUAAUUUCUGGUCGUAUAAGGUUUGUCCAUUCACAUGGUAAGUAAGUAUAAUUUAAUGUUCUUUUUUUAAAAAAGGAA